UGCUUAUGAUGAAUAAAAUGUAUAAGAGUAGUGGACAGGAGUGGUUUCUGAAAACGUUUACACUGAAGCA
Carassius auratus (goldfish) is the source of this 70-nucleotide small nucleolar RNA. Ensembl annotates it as small nucleolar RNA SNORD75. The record is from Ensembl. Lineage: Eukaryota; Metazoa; Chordata; Actinopteri; Cypriniformes; Cyprinidae.